AUUGAACGCUGGCGGCAUGCUUUACACAUGCAAGUCGAACGGUAACAGGUUAAGCUGACGAGGGGCGAACGGGUGAGUAAUGCAUCGGAACGUGCCCGAUCGUGGGGGAUAACGCAGCGAAAGCUGCGCUAAUACCGCAUACGAUCUGAGGAUGAAAGCGGGGGACCGUAAGGCCUCGCGCGAUCGGAGCGGCCGAUGUCAGAUUAGGUAGUUGGUGGGGGAAAGGACCACCAAGCCGACGAUCUGUAGCUGGUCUGAGAGGACGAACAGCCACGCUGGGACUGAGACACGACCCAGACUCCUACGGGAGGCAGCAGUGGGGAAUUUUGGACAAUGGGCGAAAGCCUGAUCCAGCAAUGCCGCGUGCAGGAGGAAGGCCUUCGGGUUGUAAACUGCUUUUGUACGGAGCGAAAAGGUCCUUUCUAAUACAGGGGGCUCAUGACGGUACCGUAAGAAUAAGCACCGGCUAACUACGUGCCAGCCGCCGCAGUAA
RNAcentral lists this ribosomal RNA (493 nucleotides) under uncultured bacterium. Its description in RNAcentral is "partial 16S ribosomal RNA". It matches the Rfam family "Bacterial small subunit ribosomal RNA", at positions 29 to 523 of the family's 1533-position model. The record is from RNAcentral.